GCCAGAUCGAUCACGAGAAGAAGAGGUGUCACAAUUUAGGGCUAAAUGGGAAAUCUUCUUGGCCGCUAAGACCGAGCGAUGCAGGCCAGUCGUCCCACACACCAUUGGGUGUGAUUUGUAGAGGGCAGGGAUAGAUGAGGUCACCGCUGGCUUAUUCAGGUUUCAAGGAGGACCCGGCUCAAGGGUCGCAUAGCACAUCUUAACAUGCUGCAGAAAGGUUUGAGCUUUCUUUCUCUUUUCUUUUGGAUUGUGAGGAUAGAGGAUGUGGACGGAUUCUUUGGAGCUCGGAUCUGACUGGUAACGCAGUAAUACCAAUUUCUUUGCUUCUCUCUCCUUUUUUUCUAGACCUUGGAGACUCCCAAGCAUCAAGGCAUUGCUGAGAGUUGGAAUUCGAGGAGUAACUAUGAGCAAUGUUCGUGGUUUAGGCACUCAAGGCUCUUAGUUCUCGGAAGACAAGUUCGUGACGAAGAUCAAAAUGGACUUCGCUGCUUUACAAACUUUUGUUUCAUCUCUAAAUGGAAACCCAGGUGGAGCUUGUGAUUGAUCGGGGACGUCAAGAUAUUUGGUAAGCAAGACGAGGAUCUCUAGACUUGGAAUCCAACAAGAACCACGUGUGCUAGCAGUGAUCCCAGUCGCAGACUCAAAGCCUAGAGAAUGGGGGGAGGUUACACAUACAUCCUUUCUUCUUCCACCACCUAAAUCUCUUCCAUGCUAGAAAGUUUUGGAGAACUUUGCUUGAGAUCUAAGAUAAUCCAUGCUAGAAACUUUUGGAUUUUGGAUCCAAGAUAAUUGGUAGAAGAACUUUGCUUGAUAAUCCAUGUUAGAAAUGUUACCACCU
Molecule: long non-coding RNA, 838 nt
Organism: Selaginella moellendorffii
Lineage: Eukaryota; Viridiplantae; Streptophyta; Lycopodiopsida; Selaginellales; Selaginellaceae
Exons: 3
Source: RefSeq, a predicted model, not a curated record